CUACGGGUUGCUCCAGUAGGGAAUAUUGCGCAAUGGGGGAAACCCUGACGCAGCAACGCCGCGUGGGUGAAGAAGGCUUUCGGGUUGUAAAGCCCUGUCAGGAGGGAAGAAAUGCAAGUGAGAGUAAUACCUCACUUGUUUGACGGUACCUCCAAAGGAAGCACCGGCCAACUCCGUGCCAGGCAGCCGCGGUAAUACGGAGGGUGCAAGCGUUGUUCGGAUUUACUGGGCGUAAAGCGCGUGUAGGCGGCUUGUUAGGUCAGAUGUGAAAGCCCCCGGCUUAACCGGGGAAGUGCAUUUGAAACCAAUAGGCUUGAGUACGGGAGAGGGAAGCGGAAUUCCUAGUGUAGAGGUGAAAUUCGUAGAUAUUAGGAGGAACACCCGUGGCGAAGGCGGCUUCCUGGACCGAUACUGACGCUGAGACGCGAAAGCGUGGGGAGCAAACAGGAUUAGAUACCCCCGUAGUC
RNAcentral lists this ribosomal RNA (467 nucleotides) under uncultured bacterium. RNAcentral describes it as "partial 16S ribosomal RNA". It matches the Rfam family "Bacterial small subunit ribosomal RNA", at positions 339 to 795 of the family's 1533-position model. The record is from RNAcentral.